RNAcentral lists this transfer RNA (69 nucleotides) under Ictidomys tridecemlineatus (thirteen-lined ground squirrel). RNAcentral describes it as "Spermophilus tridecemlineatus (thirteen-lined ground squirrel) tRNA". It matches the Rfam family "tRNA". From Rfam's summary of the family: Transfer RNA (tRNA) molecules are approximately 80 nucleotides in length. Their secondary structure includes four short double-helical elements and three loops (D, anti-codon, and T loops). The record is from Rfam by way of RNAcentral. Lineage: Eukaryota; Metazoa; Chordata; Mammalia; Rodentia; Sciuridae.
GGGGCUGUAGCUCAGUGGUAGAGCAUUUGCUUCAGAGGUGUGAGGCCCUGGGUUCAAUCCUCAGCACCA